RNAcentral lists this long non-coding RNA (741 nucleotides) under Lynx pardinus (Iberian lynx). Lineage: Eukaryota; Metazoa; Chordata; Mammalia; Carnivora; Felidae. The record is from RNAcentral.
UCCAGAUGAACCACUAAACAGCUACAGCGCAAGACUUUGGAAUAGCCCCCACCCAACAAUGUCAUCUGUCCUAAGAGGCAGAGUUUUGGGUUUUUUGGUAAGUUAUUUAUUAUAGCAGACAUUCACAGUAAGGUCUUUUUUGUCAGUGUUCAUACCUCCUCUCCAGUCUGUUUGCUUAUGUUUCUGCACCCUUGCUCCUGUAUGUCUUUUCUCCCACUUUGUCUAAUCUUUCGGUAUUUGUGCUUUUCUGGGAUCCUGGAAUUUGCUCUAUUGCCUUAACUACUUUCUAGUGACUGCAUUCUUCUGGGUCCUGACUCCCUUUCAAUCCAUCCAUUGCCUUGCAUUACCCUUGGGUUUCAUGGGUCAACACCUCACUAUCUUCCUCUGAGCACAGAGGUCUGUGCAACUCAAUUCUAUAUGGUUCACCUGCUCCUGACUUACAUGUAUCUAUCUAUUACUUGGAUCUCUUACCUUACAGAAGGUUGAUGGCUUAUAUAAUGACAGUGAUGUCCAUACAAAUUAAUUUUAAUGGUGCCACAAUUUUCAAACUUUAGUUUCUCAGGUUGCACAAGGACCACUAGAAGUUCUGAAUUUAGUAUGUAAAAACUUUUUCUCAAUUAAAAAUAUUUUUAUGCUUCUGAAUAUUGUAUGAUUUUGUCCUAAAUGGAAAUAGAUUUUAUCUCUAUAGGAAGAGAUGUGUGGAAUCAAAUAUCUGAAUAAAUUAUGUCAUGUGAAUACAGC